RNAcentral lists this long non-coding RNA (1095 nucleotides) under Homo sapiens (human). Its description in RNAcentral is "HSALNT0265268". Lineage: Eukaryota; Metazoa; Chordata; Mammalia; Primates; Hominidae. The record is from RNAcentral.
UCUAGAGAAACACUGCGAGCCCCACGCGGGCUGGUGGAGCCUCUUGCCUGGAAAAAGAUGUGGAAACGCGCAGGCUGGGCGUCAGAGUUUGGUUGAGGGUCUGUCAAAAGCCCAAACGUAACCCUCCCAGGCCACUUUCCUUAAUAUUUGGAUUUUGAUCACGAUGAUUAAGACAGCCGGUGAUGUGUAAUCAACAGCAUCUUAAUUUGCAGUUUUUCAGGAGGGUGAAUUUGACCUGACUCUGAGCAUCUUCAUUGCCCAGUGUGGACGGUGUGAAGUUAAUGCGGUUGAAAUACAGAGGGAAUCAGAUCACCGAUGUCAUUUCAAAGAAUAACUUUUCCCUGAUUCAAAGGGUCUCUCUUGCCUUUCACAUACUACAAAUGUGGAGAGAGAGACAUAAAGAGUUUUAAAAAUUAAAUUCUUAAUUUGGGGUAUUCAUUUUUAAAAUGAUUUACGCGUUUCGCCCUGGAGUGGUUAGAACCUGGUUUUAUUUUCUAGGGUUUUAUUUUUCCUUUUCUCUAUUUCAAUUAAAGGAAUCUCUUUAAAUGAAUAAACCAAUUAAAUGAAACUUCUUAUGAUUUCAUUCCAUACAAUAGAAGAAACAAAUGAUCAUUAAAAGUUGUCUUAGUGUUACAAAGGAGAGUAAUUAAUUCUCAGCAUUCACACCAGCAAAACGAUAAACAAGAGGGAAAACAUCCCCCAACUCUGGAAGAGGUGGUGUAGAUGUGAAUCUGCAAACCAACUUAAAAAUAUAUAUACCUAGUUUGAAAUUAGUCUUUGGAAGAAAUGUAAUUCCCAAAUUAAGUCUUUUGCCACCUUAGCAUAAACCAAGGCUAGUUUUUAGCGGAAGACCAGUUCCUCUGGGCAAGAGCUGUGAAUUUCAAUAAGUUGGCAAGCCAAGUUUUCUACACAAAUCAGAGAUUAAAUCAAGUUGUUUUCCCUUUUUAAAAUAUAAAGUAUAAACAAAUACCAAACUGGGGCAUGUUCCAAAUCCUCUGCAGCUAAAUUGCAUUUAACUUUUCCACCAGAAAAUGUGAUCAAUUUAGUAAGCCAAUAAGUACAUAAAUACUACCCCCGCUUAUGUUUUAUCGCAGA